RNAcentral lists this ribosomal RNA (2278 nucleotides) under fermentation metagenome. RNAcentral's name for it is "bacterial LSU rRNA". It matches the Rfam family "Bacterial large subunit ribosomal RNA", at positions 52 to 2314 of the family's 2925-position model. The record is from RNAcentral.
AAGGACGUGGGACACUGCGAAAAGCCUGGGGGAGCUGUGAACGAGCGCCGAUCCCAGGAUGUCCGAAUGGGGAAACCCGGCAGAGAGAACCUCUGUCAUCCAUGCAUGAAAAAGAUAGUGUAUGGAAGGGAACCCGGGGAACUGAAACAUCUAAGUACCCGGAGGAAAAGAGAAUAUUCCCAAAGUAGUGGCGAGCGAAAUGGGAGGAGCCCAAACCGAUAUGGAGCGAUCCGUAAAGGGGUUGUAGGAUCAGGAACAAAGGUGAACAAAGGCAGAAUAUAGUGGAAAGACUUGGGAAAGUCUGCCGAAGAGGGUGAGAGCCCCGUAGACGAAAUAGGACGCACACCGACCUGACACCUGAGUAGUACCGUGCACGCUAAUACGGUAUGAAGCUGGGGAGACCACUUCCCAAGGCUAAACACACACAGCGACCGAUAGAGGACAAGUACCGUGAGGGAAAGGUGAAAAGUACCCCGGGAGGGGAGUGAAAGAGAACCUGAAACCGUAAGCUUACAAGCAGUCGGAGGGCAAUGGUCGGCAACGACAAAGCCUGACGGCGUGCCUCUUGGAGAAUGAGCCUGCGAGUUAAUUGAUGUGGCGAGGUUAAGGGAGGAAAACCCGGAGCCGAAGCGAAAGCGAGUCUGAAUAGGGCGAGUGAGUCGCGUUGAUUAGACACGAAACUGGAUGAGCUAACCAUGGGCAGGAUGAAGCGAGAUUAAGCCCUCGUGGAGGUCCGAACCUUUCAAUGCUGCAAAAUUGAGGGAUGACCUGUGGUUAGGGGUGAUAUGCCAAACGAAUUCAGAGAUAGCUUGUUCUCCCCGAAAUAGUUUUAGGACUAGCGUUGCGGGAUAGUUUAUGGAGGUAGAGCACUGAUAGGGUAAGGGGGUCAAAGACUUACCGAACCCUGACAAACUCCGAAUGCCAUAAAGUGGACAGCAGCAGUCGGACUGCGGGUGAUGAGAUUCGUAGUCGAAAGGGAAACAGCCCAGAUCAUCGGCUAAGGUCCCCAAAUCGAUGCUAAGUGGGAAACGAUGUGGAGUUACACAGACAACCAGGAGGUUCGCUCAGAAGCAGCAAUCCUUUAAAGAGUGCGUAAUAGCUCACUGGUCAAGUGAUUCUGCGCGGAAAACGUAACGGGGCUAAGCAUCGUACCGAAGCCAUGGGCUUGAUAACAAAAGUUAUCGAGCGGUAGGGGAGCGUUCUGUCAGCGGGGAAGUCUCACCGGAAGGAGAGGUGGAGCGGACAGAAGUGAGAAUGCAGGCAUGAGUAGCGUAAAACAUGUGAGAACCAUGUUCGUUGAAAAUCCAAGGUUUCCGACGUCAAGUCAAUCUGCGUCGGGUUAGUCGGGACCUAAGGCGAGGCCGAGAGGCGUAGUCGAUGGACAACUGGUUAAUAAUCCAGUACCGAUUGUGUGGAGCGAAGGGGGGACACAACGAGGGAAUCCAGCCUGUUAGUGAAUUCAGGUGGAUGAACGUCAGGCGAUGAGAGAGGGAGAGAAAAGGCCCUUUUGAGCUGAGGGAAAUCAGGAGGCGCAAGCUAGAACUGAGAAGCACCUUGUUGGCAAGAAAAGCCUCUAAGUGAUGAAACACAAUUGCCCGUACCGUAAACCGACACUGGUGGAUGAGUAGAGAAUACUAAGACGAACGGGAGAACUAUCGUUAAGGAACUAGGCAAAAUAGCCCCGUAACUUUGGGAGAAGGGGUGCUCACAAUCCUGAUCAAUAGGGAAGGUGAGCCGCAGUGAAAGGGCUCUAGUGACUGGUUAGCAAAACCACAGGUCUCUGCAAAGUCGAAAGACGAAGUAUAGGGGCUGACGCCUGCCCAGUGCCGGAAGGUUAAGAGGAGGGGUUAGUGUUUUAGGACACGAAGCUUCGAAUCGAAGCCCCGGUGAACGGCGGCCGUAACUAUAACGGUCCUAAGGUAGCGAAAUUCCUUGUCGGGUAAGUUCCGACCCGCACGAACGGCGUAACAACUAGAGCACUGUCUCAACGAUAGACCCGGUGAAAUUGAAAUGGCUGUGAAGAUGCGGCCUACCCGCAGCAGGACAAAAAGACCCCGUGGAGCUUUACUGUAACCUGACAUUGAGUUUAGGUAUUAUUUGUGUAGGAUAGGUGGGAGGCUAAGAAGCCAGAGCGCUAGCUUUGGUGGAGCCAAUAGUGAAAUACCACCCUGAUAAUAUUUGGGCUCUAACCCUACGCCGUGAACCGGGUAGGGGACCGUGUCAGGCGGGCAGUUUGACUGGGGCGGUCGCCUCCAAAAGAGUAACGGAGGCGCCCAAA